GUGCUCACUUCAGCAGCACAUAGACUAAAAUUGGAAGGAUGCAGAGUAGAUUAGCAUGGCCCCUGAGCAAGUAUGACACGCAAGUUCUUGAAGAAUUCCAUAUAUUA
Small nuclear RNA from Molossus molossus (Pallas's mastiff bat), 107 nucleotides. NCBI's taxonomy places the organism in Eukaryota, Metazoa, Chordata, Mammalia, Chiroptera, Molossidae. The record is from RefSeq and is a predicted model, not a curated record.